AAGUAUUGAAACCCUGAGCUCGAACUCGAUCCUGAACUGGGUCCUGGCUGAUAAGCCAUAAUUAAAACUUUAAAAGGCUUGGGUUUUUCUCUUUCUCGACAAAGAAAGGAUAAUUUCAAUCCAACUCGAAAAGAGAAGAUGAUUUUUUUAAGUUAAUCUAUGAUCGAUUCAAAUAAUUCUUUAGGUUCCUAUCAGAAGAAAAACCCACAUACAUAUGUAGUAGCUGAAAGAGAGAGAGAAAGGGAAUUACGGAAAUUGAUUAGAUUAAUUUGAAAUUCGAAAAAAAGAGCGAGCAAGUUAGGCAUGACUGAACAGGGAACGAACAGUUAACACCAAGGAUCGAGGCAAUAGACCUAAGGAUCAUUUUAAGAGAGAGAAAGGGUAGAGAGAAGGAACCCUAGAAUUGAGGUGGAAAAAGAGUAGCAGUUGGUCAAAAGGGGGAGGUGGGUGGUGCGAUCAACUGUUCAACAAGGUAUAUGCAAUGGUGGGGUUGCGGAAAAAAGUUGACGAAGUUCACUUCUCAGGGGCCGGGAUAUAUUAAUUGACAUACGUAGGAGAGAUAAUCUACAAGAUGAUGGGUAUUAACAAAAGAGAGGGAUUUUUGUUUUGUUUUUUGUUGAUUAUGAAUUUAUGAUGAUGAAGAAGGAGAUGAAUGAAAAGUUAAAAAAGAAGUUCGAAAAUGGCAAACAAAUUGUUUCGCUAGGAGAGGG
RNAcentral lists this long non-coding RNA (710 nucleotides) under Panax ginseng (ginseng). RNAcentral's name for it is "long non-coding RNA (PGIN_LNC010497)". Lineage: Eukaryota; Viridiplantae; Streptophyta; Magnoliopsida; Apiales; Araliaceae. The record is from RNAcentral.